AAUUUUGGACAAUGGGGGAAAACCUGAUCCAGCCAUCCCGCGUGUAUGAUGAAGGCCUUCGGGUUGUAUAGUACUUUUGUCUGAGGAGAAAAGGUAUCUCCUAAUACGAGAUACUGCUGACGGUAUCUGCAGGAUAAGCACCGGCUAACAACGUGCCAGCAGCCGCGGUAAUACGGAGGUAGCAAGCGUUAAUCGGAAUUACUGGGCGUAAAGCGUGUGUAGGCGGUUCGGAAAGAAAGAUGUGAAAUCCCAGGGCUCAACCUUGGAACUGCAUUUUUAACUGCCGAGCUAGAGUAUGUCAGAGGGGGGUAGAAUUCCACGUGUAGCAGUGAAAUGCGUAGAUAUGUGGAGGAAUACCGAUGGCGAAGGCAGCCCCCUGGGAUAAUACUGACGCUCAGGCACGAAAGCGUGGGGAGCAAACA
This 422-nucleotide ribosomal RNA is filed under the name uncultured bacterium. RNAcentral describes it as "partial 16S ribosomal RNA". It matches the Rfam family "Bacterial small subunit ribosomal RNA", at positions 360 to 774 of the family's 1533-position model. The record is from RNAcentral.